This 253-nucleotide ribosomal RNA is filed under the name uncultured bacterium. RNAcentral's name for it is "partial 16S ribosomal RNA". It matches the Rfam family "Bacterial small subunit ribosomal RNA", at positions 524 to 776 of the family's 1533-position model. The record is from RNAcentral.
UACAGAGGGUGCAAGCGUUGUCCGGAAUCACUGGGCGUAAAGGGCGCGUAGGUGGCCUGAUAAGUAGGAGGUGAAAUCCUGGGGCUUAACCUCAGGGCUGCCUUCUAGACUGUCCGGCUCGAGCACAGUAGAGGCAGGUGGAAUUCCCGGUGUAGAGGUGAAAUUCGUAGAUAUCGGGAGGAACACCGGUGGCGAAGGCGGCGACCUGGGUAGAUACUGACGCUGAGGUGCGAAAGCGUGGGGAGCAAACAGG